Molecule: ribosomal RNA, 394 nt
Filed under: uncultured Glomeromycotina
Lineage: Eukaryota; Fungi; Glomeromycota
Description: SSU rRNA
Rfam family: Eukaryotic small subunit ribosomal RNA
Source: RNAcentral
AGCAGCCGCGGUAAUUCCAGCUCCAAUAGCGUAUAUUAAAGUUGUUGCAGUUAAAAAGCUCGUAAUUGAAUUUCGGGAUCAAUACGUCGGUCGUGCUUCGGUACGUACUGGCGUCAUUGGUUUCUCCCUUCUGACGAACCAUGAUGUCAUUAAUUUGGUGUCGUGGGGAAUCAGGACUGUUACUUUGAAAAAAUUGAGUGUUUAAAGCAGGCUCACGCUUGAAUACAUUAGCAUGGAAUAAUGAAAUAGGACGUUUGAUUCUAUUUUGUUGGUUUCUAGGAUCGACGUAAUGAUUAAUAGGGAUAGUUGGGGGCAUUAGUAUUCAAUUGUCAGAGGUGAAAUUCUUGGAUUUAUUGAAGGCUAACUACUGCGAAAGCAUUUGCCAAGGAUGUUU